RNAcentral lists this small RNA (965 nucleotides) under uncultured Micromonospora sp. Its description in RNAcentral is "bacterial SSU rRNA". The stretch from base 1 to 472 matches the Rfam family "Bacterial small subunit ribosomal RNA", at positions 1064 to 1533 of the family's 1533-position model. The record is from RNAcentral. Lineage: Bacteria; Bacillati; Actinomycetota; Actinomycetes; Micromonosporales; Micromonosporaceae.
GUCGUGAGAUGUUGGGUUAAGUCCCGCAACGAGCGCAACCCUCGUUCGAUGUUGCCAGCGCGUGAUGGCGGGGACUCAUCGAAGACUGCCGGGGUCAACUCGGAGGAAGGUGGGGAUGACGUCAAGUCAUCAUGCCCCUUAUGUCCAGGGCUUCACGCAUGCUACAAUGGCCGGUACAAAGGGCUGCGAUACCGUGAGGUGGAGCGAAUCCCAAAAAGCCGGUCUCAGUUCGGAUCGGGGUCUGCAACUCGACCCCGUGAAGUCGGAGUCGCUAGUAAUCGCAGAUCAGCAACGCUGCGGUGAAUACGUUCCCGGGCCUUGUACACACCGCCCGUCACGUCACGAAAGUCGGCAACACCCGAAGCCGGUGGCCCAACCCUUGUGGAGGGAGCCGUCGAAGGUGGGGCUGGCGAUUGGGACGAAGUCGUAACAAGGUAGCCGUACCGGAAGGUGCGGCUGGAUCACCUCCUUUCUAAGGAGCGACCUUCCCGGCCCGUGGGUCGGGGUAGGGGCCCGUGCCGCCCGUCGGUGGUGGUGGGGUGCUCGUGGGUGGAGACACUGGUGAAGUCGGUCGUCGGUGCGCCGCUCGGGGUAGUACGGCCAACCUGUUGGGUUGGUGGGGAACCUCUGGGCUGGUCGGGCUGGUGGUGGGCGUGGGCAGGCAUCCUGUUGGGUCCUGAGAGAACAACCGCACGGUGUGUGGGGUUCUUUUGGUGCCAGGCACGCUCGUUGCCAUCGCGUGUGGUGCUUCGUGCGGUUCCCGGGUUUUCGGGGGUUGUGCGGGGUGUGUGGUGGUGGGGUGUGGGUUGGUCGUUGGUUGAGAAUUGCACAGUGGAUGCGAGCAUCUUUGUGGUCAAGUUGGUAAGGGCAAACGGUGGAUGCCUUGGUACCAGGAGCCGAUGAAGGACGUGGGAGGCCGCGAUAGGCCUGGGGGAGCUGUCAACCGAGCUGAGAUCCCAGGGUGU